UACGAAGGGUGCAAACGUUGCUCGGAAUCAUUGGGCGUAAAGCGCACGUAGGCGGCUUGCCAAGUCGGACGUGAAAUCCCUCAGCUCAACUGAGGACGUGCAUCCGAAACUGGCGAGCUUGAGUACUGAAGAGGAUCGCGGAAUUCCCGGUGUAGAGGUGAAAUUCGUAGAUAUCGGGAGGAACACCAGUGGCGAAGGCGGCGAUCUGGGCAGAUGCUGACGCUGAGGUGCGAAAGCGUGGGGAGCAAACAGG
This 253-nucleotide ribosomal RNA is filed under the name uncultured bacterium. Its description in RNAcentral is "partial 16S ribosomal RNA". It matches the Rfam family "Bacterial small subunit ribosomal RNA", at positions 524 to 776 of the family's 1533-position model. The record is from RNAcentral.